This 340-nucleotide ribosomal RNA is filed under the name uncultured eukaryote. RNAcentral's name for it is "SSU rRNA". It matches the Rfam family "Eukaryotic small subunit ribosomal RNA", at positions 22 to 359 of the family's 1831-position model. The record is from RNAcentral.
AGUCAUAUGCUUGUCUCAAAGAUUAAGCCAUGCAUGUCUAAGUAUAAACAACUUUGUACUGUGAAACUGCGAAUGGCUCAUUAAAUCAGUUAUAGUUUAUUUGAUAGUCCUUUACUACUUGGAUAACCGUAGUAAUUCUAGAGCUAAUACAUGCAUCAACUCCCAACUGCUUGUCGGACGGGAUGUAUUUAUUAGAUAGAAACCAAUGCGGGGCAACCCGGUAUUGUGGUGAAUCAUGAUAACUUUGCGGAUCGCCGGCUUCGGCCAGCGACGAAUCAUUCAAGUUUCUGCCCUAUCAGCUUUGGAUGGUAGGGUAUUGGCCUACCAUGGCUCUAACGGG